This 917-nucleotide ribosomal RNA is filed under the name Allantophomopsiella pseudotsugae. RNAcentral's name for it is "LSU rRNA". It matches the Rfam family "Eukaryotic large subunit ribosomal RNA", at positions 38 to 966 of the family's 3401-position model. The record is from RNAcentral. Lineage: Eukaryota; Fungi; Ascomycota; Leotiomycetes; Phacidiales; Phacidiaceae.
GCAUAUCAAUAAGCGGAGGAAAAGAAACCAACAGGGAUUGCCUCAGUAACGGCGAGUGAAGCGGCAACAGCUCAAAUUUGAAAUCUGGCCCUUUCAGGGUCCGAGUUGUAAUUUGUAGAGGAUGUUUCGGGUGUGGCUCCGGUCUAAGUUCCUUGGAACAGGACGUCAUAGAGGGUGAGAAUCCCGUAUGUGACUGGUAGCCUAUGCCCAUGUGAAACUCCUUCGACGAGUCGAGUUGUUUGGGAAUGCAGCUCAAAAUGGGUGGUAAAUUUCAUCUAAAGCUAAAUAUUGGCCAGAGACCGAUAGCGCACAAGUAGAGUGAUCGAAAGAUGAAAAGCACUUUGGAAAGAGAGUUAAACAGUACGUGAAAUUGUUGAAAGGGAAGCGCUUGCAACCAGACUUGCAUGUAGCUGAUCAACCGGUGUUCUCACCGGUGCACUCAGUUGCGUUCAGGCCAGCAUCGGUUUCGACGGUUGGAUAAAGGCCUUGGGAAUGUAGCUCCUCUCGGGGAGUGUUAUAGCCCAGGGUGCAAUGCAGCCUGUUGGGACCGAGGACCGCGCUUCGGCUAGGAUGCUGGCGUAAUGGUUGUAAGCGACCCGUCUUGAAACACGGACCAAGGAGUCUAACAUCUAUGCGAGUGUUUGGGUGUCAAACCCAUACGCGUAAUGAAAGUGAACGGAGGUGAGAACCCUUAAGGGUGCAUCAUCGACCGAUCCUGAUGUCUUCGGAUGGAUUUGAGUAAGAGCAUAGCUGUUGGGACCCGAAAGAUGGUGAACUAUGCCUGAAUAGGGUGAAGCCAGAGGAAACUGCUGGUGGAGGCUCGCAGCGGUUCUGACGUGCAAAUCGAUCGUCAAAUUUGGGGUAAUAAGGGGGCGAAAGACUAAUCGAACCAUCUAGUAGCUGGUUCCUUGCCGAAG